Molecule: long non-coding RNA, 296 nt
Filed under: Homo sapiens (human)
Lineage: Eukaryota; Metazoa; Chordata; Mammalia; Primates; Hominidae
Description: HSALNT0139482
Source: RNAcentral
GGAGAGUGGAGCUGGACAGAAUUGAGCUUCCCUUUCACUUGCUGAGAAACCUGCUGAGAUGUCAGCUUCCAUGUCGUGAGCUACUCUGUGAAGAGGCUACAUGGUAAGGAACUGAGAGAAGCUACCAGCAGACAACUCCCCCAGGAACUGACAUCUGCCAACAAUCACGUGAGUGAAUGGAUCCUUCAGUUCCAGUCCAACCUUCAGUUGACUGCAGCCUUGACCAACACUUUGACUGUAACUUCAUGGAAGACCUUGGCAAGAACCGUGUAGUCAAGCUACUCUCAUAUGCAGAA